AUGCGGUCGGCGGGGGGAGGCGGUGGCGAGGAUGCGGUCGGCGGGAGGGAGGCGGCGGCCGGUAGAAGCUGUUCCGACGAAUUGGGAGCUCCUCCUGCACGUCGAGAGCACCGUCCGGCACCACGCGCGCGCGCAUGCCGCGUCGGGGAGUGCGAGCAGCGUGGCGCUGCCGGUCGCGCCCGCCACCCACAUCCUGACGCGGCAGCGUGGUCGGCGGGGACCCGUUCGUGGCGUCGCGUUGCCGGGUCGCGCGAGUGCGGCGGCGAGGAUGUGGGAUGGCUGCAUCGGGCGGCCACGUAG
Molecule: ribosomal RNA, 300 nt
Filed under: Triticum aestivum (bread wheat)
Lineage: Eukaryota; Viridiplantae; Streptophyta; Magnoliopsida; Poales; Poaceae
Description: partial small subunit ribosomal RNA
Source: RNAcentral